UAGGGAAUCUUCCGCAAUGGACGAAAGUCUGACGGAGCAACGCCGCGUGAGUGAUGAAGGUUUUCGGAUCGUAAAACUCUGUUGUUAGGGAAGAACAAGUUGGGUAGUAACUGACCCAACCUUGACGGUACCUAACCAGAAAGCCACGGCUAACUACGUGCCAGCAGCCGCGGUAAUACGUAGGUGGCAAGCGUUGUCCGGAAUUAUUGGGCGUAAAGCGCUCGCAGGCGGUCUUUUAAGUCUGAUGUGAAAGCCCACGGCUUAACCGUGGAGGGUCGUUGGAAACUGGAGGACUUGAGUACAGAAGAGGAGGGUGGAAUUCCACGUGUAGCGGUGAAAUGCGUAGAGAUGUGGAGGAACACCAGUGGCGAAGGCGACUCUCUGGUCUGUAACUGACGCUGAGGAGCGAAAGCGUGGGUAGCGAACAGG
This 429-nucleotide ribosomal RNA is filed under the name Bacillota bacterium. RNAcentral describes it as "Firmicutes bacterium partial 16S ribosomal RNA". It matches the Rfam family "Bacterial small subunit ribosomal RNA", at positions 355 to 776 of the family's 1533-position model. The record is from RNAcentral. Lineage: Bacteria; Bacillati; Bacillota.